This is a long non-coding RNA of Chelonia mydas (Green sea turtle), 3342 nucleotides long. RefSeq lists it as uncharacterized. NCBI's taxonomy places the organism in Eukaryota, Metazoa, Chordata, Testudines, Cheloniidae. The record is from RefSeq and is a predicted model, not a curated record. The transcript has 4 exons.
GCGCCUCCUCGCCCGGCGCUCGCCGCCUGAGCGCAGCCCGCGCGGCAGCGACAGCCGCCCCGGGGCGCUCUUGUCUCAGGCGCGACAGCGGGAGGCUCCGAGCACGGUCGCCUCGCACCCCCUUGGGGGGCUCCCGGGCAUUUCGCGCCCGAGGCUGGGCUCGGGGGCGCCCGGCGUGGCUCCUCCGCUGGGUCAGCCCCGCUCCGCUGUGCUCAGAAUAAGUCACCUGGUGGAAAAGACACAACUUGGAAAGGCGCCGGGGGGGGGGGGGGGCGCUGUCUAUUGGCAGGUUCGCAACUCUUCGCUCUUCUAUAUCAGAAACGCUCGUCCUUGCCGCAGUCCGCGUCGGGUUAAAGAGACAGGAAUAUUGGGGAAGUCACUCAUCCGGUUUUGAACCGGCCACCCUCUUGGGGUGCUUUGUCCCCCAGCUGGUUCUGGCAAAGCUGGACAUGGCUUUGUCCAAUAUCUGAUCGGGGGGGGGCGCACGUUUCAAGAGUGCCCCACUCAGGCACAACUUCACGUGCACCAGUACACACGAGGUCAUGGCCGCCAGUGCCGGUGUGCUCUUAAAGAAUGGUGCCCUUCCUGCUGCCUUUCUCCAGCCGGUUGGUGUGUGCAAGCAGUAAAUAGAGUCAUCAAGAAGGAAGGGAAACAAAGAGUGCUCAAACAGGUGAGGAAAAAGCAGCAGAGAACAUCCUUCCCUCUAGACUCUUUGUAUCCUGAAUCUCAGCUGGAAACGUGUUUCAAGAGGGAAACUGACACUAUAAAAGGAGGGACAAACACUGCAAGACAUCUUCCCCUCUCUCCCUGCCCAUCACAUUCACAGCACCUGAACUGACAAGACAAAGGAAGCAUUUGUUGGAUUCUAGAGAAAAGAGGUCCUGGCUUAAGAAGUUUGGUCAGUAAGACUGCUGAGAGCAUGUGGUGAGGACUUUGCUUUGAGUUUCACGUAGUUUAAGUUAGGCACCAAGUGCGUUUUGUCUUUAUUUUUCUUGUAACCAUUUCUGACUUUUAUGCCUCAUUACUUGUACUCACUUAAAAUGUAUCUUUUGUAGCUAAACUUGUUUUAUUGUUUUAUCUAAUCCAGUGUUUUUAAAUUGAAGUGUUUGGGGAAACUCCAUUUGGGCUGGCAAGUUAUGUGCACAUUAUUUCUAUUAAAGAAAUAAUGGAAUUUAUGUAAACUUGCAUUUCCCAGGAGAUGGCUGGGCAAUACAGGACAUACAUUUCUGGGGGUGGGAAAUCUAAGACUGAGAGUGUGUUGAGGUCACCCUGCAGUAUAACCAAAGCUGGUAAGAGCCAUGAUGUGUCUGUCUGGCUGCAGCCCGUGCAGACAUAACUGGGAGUGACUUGCAUUCUGGAGGCUGUUUGUGAGCAGUCCAGACUGGAGGCUACAGCGCAAAGCAUUGUAAAGGGCUCCUCAGGUUAGAGGGCAGGUUUGACACAGCUACUCAUUAGUCUGGAUUGAACCUGAUAUAUACAUAUACAUCAAAGUAGUUACACCAGUGGAUAUUUCUCUAAUGCAGACAGGGCCUAAGAGAGAUGCCAUGCUGAGGUCUGGGAAAGGGGCGAAUGACCAUGAAGAGUUAAGAGAGACAAAGUGAGUGAGGUAAUAGCCUUUACUGGACCAACUUCUCUUGGUGAAAGAGACAAACCUUCCAGCUACAUGGACCUCUUCUUCAGGUCAUGAAGAUGUAAGAAAUUUAAUCCUGUUUAAACCAGAGAAUAGGUACAUGAUUCAGCUUGGGUAGCUGGAUUUUGCUUAGACUCCUGUAUAGUGAUGUUUUAUUCUAUUAAUUUCUAUUUGUUUUUAGAUAUUUUCCUACCUUAAACUGUUUUUUAUUUAAGACAGUUUGGCAUUGGAGACUGUUAUUCGGGAUCAAGCACUCCAGGACAUUCUGGAAGGAAGAAGCCAAACCUCUAACCUCAGAGGAAACUGAGUGGAGAUAGAGAUACCUACCUGAGGACUCAAAGACAUGGUUAUGGAGGGCAUACCCUCAAAAGCAUUUGUAACCCCUGCCUGCUUGGAAUGACUCUUUGUCCCCCUCUAGUGGUGACUGUGCCAGCUAGAGAUUGAUGAGCCAGCUAAAGCCUUGGCUAAGAGAAUGGUGUCUUUUGGUUCGAGCAGUAUAAGCUCAUGCAUUUAGUUUUGUUCCCCACUGCUGACACUCCUGUGUGGGUUGGCGUUACAAGUGGUGACCCAUACCAGGAAUUCAGGCAAUUCAACUGGGAAAGUCUCUGAAGCUCAGGGAUGCCCUUAAAAUCAUGGAAUCAUAGAAGAUUAGGGUUGGAAGAGACCUCUGGAUGUCAUCUAGUCCAACCCCCUGCUCAAAGCAGGACCAACCCCAACUAAAUCAUCCCAGCCAGUGUUGACAGAUUUUAGGAAGGUCGGAGAACAGUCAAGAUAUUUGUCUCCCUAUCCGCAUCUAUCAUCAGGGUUUAAGAUCUCCCAAAAUAAAAACCAACAAGGGAGUGUAGGAAUAAAAUGCAGGUAUGUUUAUUAGACCAACAACAGUCAAACAAGGUAAGUAAAUGGGAUAUGCUGUAAAGGACUGCCAACACAGUUAAGUAAGGUAAAUAGGUAAAGGUGACACUAUAACUAUACUGACUGUGACCAAAAAGGGUUUACUCCCUCUCCAAGUCGGGUCCCAGGUAAGGGGUAUGGGGAACUUGAAAGGUCUCUACCAUUUCUUGCAGCUUGUGUCUGGAGCUUCACGACCUCAUGAUGCAGAUUGGGUCCGGAACCGACGAGGUGACUCAGCAGGGUGAGGAGUGGACCUCAGGCAACUGCUUGAUGCUGGUGAUUCUUCUUUCUCCUACCCUGCAUCGGCGUGGCUGCAAGUAAGAUCCAGGUUCACGGGGCUAUAAUGGGAGUUGGAUUGCAUGCCUGUGCCUGUGCAAUGGCAUAGGAGGGAGUAAGGAAUCCUUGUGUAUCGCUGCACAAAACGUGAAUCUUGAAUGCACCUGCUUUCUCCUGCACCCAGCAGCUGGGUAAGGAGUGGACAGUGAUGGGCUGAGCCUUGACUCCAGCCCUAUUUGCAUGCCAGCUCAGAUGAGAUUUUGCAGGAGGUGUCAUAAUUUGCUGCUGGUAUAGAAAAUCCUUCCCUGCAAGCAAUGGAAGAAUUGUGAUGGUGUCAGUGUGCUCCUCAGAAAUGAUGCUAUAUCCCAUAAAAUCGUGGUUUGAAUUGAACCUUGUUAGAAGUAUAAUCAUCAUUUGAAGAAAAAUGUCCUUUGGAAGAAUAACCAGGAAACCUGCAAACAAAUUACAUUGUCUUUUCAGGAGAAACCCUCUCUCCUCCCGGCAUGAUUCUAAAAUACACUAAAAAUAGAAAUUUUACUCAUAUA